GUCCGGCUGGCUCAGUCGGUGGAGCAUGUGACUCUUGAUCUUGAUUUCGUGAGUUCAAGCCCCAUGUUGGGUG
Molecule: transfer RNA, 73 nt
Filed under: Ailuropoda melanoleuca (giant panda)
Lineage: Eukaryota; Metazoa; Chordata; Mammalia; Carnivora; Ursidae
Rfam family: tRNA
About the family: Transfer RNA (tRNA) molecules are approximately 80 nucleotides in length. Their secondary structure includes four short double-helical elements and three loops (D, anti-codon, and T loops).
Source: Rfam by way of RNAcentral